Molecule: ribosomal RNA, 465 nt
Filed under: uncultured bacterium
Lineage: Bacteria
Description: partial 16S ribosomal RNA
Rfam family: Bacterial small subunit ribosomal RNA
Source: RNAcentral
CCUACGGGAGGCAGCAGUGGGGAAUAUUGCGCAAUGGGCGAAAGCCUGACGCAGCGACGCCGCGUGAGGGAUGAAGGUCUUCGGAUCGUAAACCUCUGUCAGCAGGGAAGAACGGUCACUGUGCUAAUCAGCAGUGAAUUGACGGUACCUGCAAAGGAAGCACCGGCUAACUCCGUGCCAGCAGCCGCGGUAAUACGGAGGGUGCGAGCGUUAAUCGGAAUUACUGGGCGUAAAGCGCUCGUAGGCGGUAUGUCAAGUCAAGGGUGAAAUCCCCGCGCUCAACGUGGGAACUGCCUUUGAUACUAGCAAACUGGAGUGAGUGAGAGGAUAGUGGAAUUCCAGGUGUAGGAGUGAAAUGCGUAGAUAUCUGGAGGAACAUCAGUGGCGAAGGCGACUAUCUGGCACAUUACUGACGCUGAGGAGCGAAAGCGUGGGUAGCAAACAGGAUUAGAUACCCCGGUAGUC